RNAcentral lists this ribosomal RNA (253 nucleotides) under uncultured bacterium. RNAcentral's name for it is "partial 16S ribosomal RNA". It matches the Rfam family "Bacterial small subunit ribosomal RNA", at positions 524 to 776 of the family's 1533-position model. The record is from RNAcentral.
UACGUAGGGUGCGAGCGUUAAUCGGACUUACUGGGCGUAAAGCGUGCGCAGGCGGUGAUGUAAGACAGAUGUGAAAUCCCCGGGCUCAACCUGGGAACUGCAUUUGUGACUGCAUCGCUGGAGUGCGGCAGAGGGGGAUGGAAUUCCGCGUGUAGCAGUGAAAUGCGUAGAUAUGCGGAGGAACACCGAUGGCGAAGGCAAUCCCCUGGGCCUGCACUGACGCUCAUGCACGAAAGCGUGGGGAGCAAACAGG